ACCUGGCCAACUGACUGAAGGAGAUCCAUAUUUGUGCCCAUUCCAAAGACAGCUUAGUGUCAACACUAGGAUCCUGCCCCUUGUGAAAGACCAGGCUGUGGAUGCUGUGCUCCUGACAGCCAGGUGGAAGGAGUUGCUGUCAUUUGAGGAUGUGGCUGUGUUCUUCACCAAAGAGGAGCAGGAAAACCUUGACUCAGCCCAAAAGUACCUCUACAGAGAUGUUAUGCUGGAGAAUUACAGAAACCUGAUCUUCUUGGGUAAUGACUUGGUCUUUAAGAUUUGGCUUUGUUUGUGUGUUUUCAGUGUCUGCCCAAGUCUUCAGUCCCUUAUCUGCAAUUCCAAAAUCAGAAAAAGCUGAAAACUGGAAGAUUUUUCAUAACUUACUUGGCUACAAAAAUCUGACCUGAAACUAUCGGGUGGCAAAACUUGAUUUUAUUUGACAGGAAGCUAUUUUUGUGCGUAUCAAUAUAGUUAGCCUAAGAAGUAAUCACUUGAUGUCCAUAACCUAUAUGAUUUAGAAUUAUCAGUGUGUUUGAGGAUACAGCUGUAAGCCCUUUUGGAGGCAUUAUGUAAUAUAUAUGCCAGCUUACCUUUCUAAAAUCUCAAAAAAUUCUGAAUUCUGCAAUACAUCUGUCCCCAAGGGUAUCCGAAAAGGGAUUGUGGACAUGGUGAUGAAUAGUUGCUUUUUGUUUUUAGAGUUCAGACACACUUAAUCCAUUCUCC
Trichechus manatus latirostris (Florida manatee) is the source of this 723-nucleotide long non-coding RNA. RefSeq lists it as uncharacterized. The record is from RefSeq and is a predicted model, not a curated record. NCBI's taxonomy places the organism in Eukaryota, Metazoa, Chordata, Mammalia, Sirenia, Trichechidae. The transcript has 3 exons.